Molecule: ribosomal RNA, 429 nt
Filed under: Bacteroidota bacterium
Lineage: Bacteria; Pseudomonadati; Bacteroidota
Description: Bacteroidetes bacterium partial 16S ribosomal RNA
Rfam family: Bacterial small subunit ribosomal RNA
Source: RNAcentral
UAGGGAAUCUUCCGCAAUGGACGCAAGUCUGACGGAGCAACGCCGCGUGAGUGAAGAAGGAUUUCGGUUCGUAAAACUCUGUUGUUAGAGAAGAACAGCGCAUAGAGUAACUGUUAUGCGUGUGACGGUAUCUAACCAGAAAGCCACGGCUAACUACGUGCCAGCAGCCGCGGUAAUACGUAGGUGGCAAGCGUUGUCCGGAUUUAUUGGGCGUAAAGCGAGCGCAGGCGGUCAAUUAAGUCAGAUGUGAAAGCCCCCGGCUCAACCGGGGAGGGUCAUUGGAAACUGGUUGACUUGAGUGCAGAAGAGGAGAGUGGAAUUCCAUGUGUAGCGGUGAAAUGCGUAGAUAUAUGGAGGAACACCAGUGGCGAAGGCGACUCUCUGGUCUGUAACUGACGCUGAGGUUCGAAAGCGUGGGUAGCAAACAGG